This 253-nucleotide ribosomal RNA is filed under the name uncultured bacterium. RNAcentral describes it as "partial 16S ribosomal RNA". It matches the Rfam family "Bacterial small subunit ribosomal RNA", at positions 524 to 776 of the family's 1533-position model. The record is from RNAcentral.
UACGUAGGGGGCGAGCGUUGUCCGGAAUUAUUGGGCGUAAAGAGCGUGUAGGCUGUUCGGUAAGUCUGCCGUGAAAACCUGAGGCUCAACCUCGGGCGUGCGGUGGAUACUGCCGGGCUAGAGGACGGUAGAGGCGAGUGGAAUUCCCGGUGUAGCGGUGAAAUGCGUAGAUAUCUGGAGGAACACCGGUGGCGAAGGCGGCAUCCUGGACCAACACUGACGCUGAUGAGCGAAAGCCAGGGGAGCAAACGGG